GAUGAACGCUGGCGGCGUGCCUAAUACAUGCAAGUCGAGCGAACAGACGAGGAGCUUGCUCCUCUGACGUUAGCGGCGGACGGGUGAGUAACACGUGGAUAACCUACCUAUAAGACUGGGAUAACUUCGGGAAACCGGAGCUAAUACCGGAUAAUAUAUUGAACCGCAUGGUUCAAUAGUCAAAGACGGUUUUGCUGUCACUUAUAGAUGUAUCCGCGCCGCAUUAGCUAGUUGGUAAGGUAACGGCUUACCAAGGCAACGAUGCGUAGCCGACCUGAGAGGGGGAUCGGCAACACUGGAACUGAGACACGGUCCAGACUCCUACGGGAGGCAGCAGUAGGGAAUCUUCCGCAAUGGGCGAAAGCCUGACGGAGAAACGCCGCGUGAGUGAUGAAGGUCUUCGGAUCGUAAAACUCUGUUAUUAGGGAAGAACAAAUGUGUAAGUAACUAUGCACGUCUUGACGGUACCUAAUCAGAAAGCCACGGCUAACUACGUG
Molecule: ribosomal RNA, 497 nt
Filed under: uncultured bacterium
Lineage: Bacteria
Description: partial 16S ribosomal RNA
Rfam family: Bacterial small subunit ribosomal RNA
Source: RNAcentral